Molecule: non-coding RNA, 148 nt
Filed under: Gorilla gorilla gorilla (western lowland gorilla)
Lineage: Eukaryota; Metazoa; Chordata; Mammalia; Primates; Hominidae
Source: Rfam by way of RNAcentral
UCCGGGCAUGGUGGCGCAUGCCUGUAAUCCCAGCUACUUGGGAGGUUGAGGCAGAAGAAUUGCUUGAAACCAGGAGGCGGAGGUUGCAGUGAGCUGAGAUCGUGCCACUGCACUCUAUCCUGGGCGACAGAGCGAGACUUCGUCUCAA